Molecule: transfer RNA, 78 nt
Filed under: Mycoplasma mycoides subsp. capri str. GM12
Lineage: Bacteria; Bacillati; Mycoplasmatota; Mollicutes; Mycoplasmatales; Mycoplasmataceae
Description: tRNA-Ala
Rfam family: tRNA
About the family: Transfer RNA (tRNA) molecules are approximately 80 nucleotides in length.
Source: RNAcentral
UGGGCCCUUAGCUCAGCUGGGAGAGCACCUGCCUUGCACGCAGGGGGUCGACGGUUCGAUCCCGUUAGGGUCCACCAU